AAAGUACUCCAUCCAUCCCAAAAUUCUUGUCCUAGAUUUAUCUAGAUCUGAAUGUAUCUAGUCAGGUUUAAUAUUUAGAUACACCCAUUUCUAGAUAAACCUAAGACAAAAAAUAUGGGACAAAGGGAGUACUUA
Molecule: non-coding RNA, 135 nt
Organism: Hordeum vulgare subsp. vulgare (domesticated barley)
Lineage: Eukaryota; Viridiplantae; Streptophyta; Magnoliopsida; Poales; Poaceae
Source: Rfam